RNAcentral lists this ribosomal RNA (301 nucleotides) under uncultured bacterium. Its description in RNAcentral is "partial 16S ribosomal RNA". It matches the Rfam family "Bacterial small subunit ribosomal RNA", at positions 509 to 807 of the family's 1533-position model. The record is from RNAcentral.
CAGUCGCCGCGGUAAUACGUAGGUGGCAAGCGUUGUCCGGAAUUAUUGGGCGUAAAGGGCUCGCAGGCGGUUUCUUAAGUCUGAUGUGAAAGCCCCCGGCUCAACCGGGGAGGGUCAUUGGAAACUGGGAAACUUGAGUGCAGAAGAGGAGAGUGGAAUUCCACGUGUAGCGGUGAAAUGCGUAGAGAUGUGGAGGAACACCAGUGGCGAAGGCGGCUCUCUGGACUGUAACUGACGCUGAGGCGCGAAAGCGUGGGGAGCAAACAGGAUUAGAUACCCGAGUAGUCCCUGUCUCUUAUAC